UGGCCUCUUGUCAUAUAUCAACCUUCAAGGAAGACAACGCUUCUUGAAAGCUAGUUAGAUUCUCUUCGAUUGUAUAAACCAUGUAACUAGGUUCACACUCUAUAGCAACUAUUGCUAUCUUACCUCUCCGAGGUUCCGUAACAUCUUGUUCGAUGUUCUCAUCACUGCUUCUGAUCACUGAAAUGUCAUCAGUUGCAUUACCCCCACUAGUGCCCCACUAUUUCUC
This 226-nucleotide long non-coding RNA is filed under the name Trifolium pratense (red clover). RNAcentral describes it as "long non-coding RNA (TPRA_LNC005038)". Lineage: Eukaryota; Viridiplantae; Streptophyta; Magnoliopsida; Fabales; Fabaceae. The record is from RNAcentral.